GGCAGCACUGCAUUUCAGACAUGGAGAAUCCUCUCCGGUUUCUGAAAAGCGUUCUUGCCACCUGGCUGAGCUCCACUUCCACUUCCUGGGCGAUGGAUUCCAUCCUCGCCUUCUUGUGUGGACUGGGGCUCUUCCUCGUGCUCCUUCCCUCCCUCCACAGGAAUCCAUCCUUACGACCCCCGGUGAAACGGAGAAACGUCAGGAAGCCUCUGCAGCAUCCGAUCACCCGUAUUUCCAGAGAAGAAAAGAGAAGUGGAAUCCUACAAAUCAUAAGGGGUAUUUAUGUCCAGACCAGGUGACUAUUCAGCUAUUCGGACUUGGGAUCACUGGCCAGAACUGGUCAUUGACAUCGUUCUGAGGGUGCCUCUUACCUGUGGAUUGGAGACUUCGCUCAUCUGUAGAAACCCAAGGAGGGGGAUGAGAAGAUCCCUGCAUUUCUCCUGACUUCCUUGGGGCUGAAGACAUCAGCCACGGGCUCAAGGGUCUUCCUGAUAAAGCACGCUGCUUUUCAUCAUCAGCUGUUGACUGCGUGUCACAUUUCCAGACAGGAGGUGGACACCUAGUGGCUUUCUAGGAGUCAUCCCUGCAGAAAGAAGCCUCUCACUGUUCUAAGCCCUGUAGUUCUGGAGUCAUUGGUGUGACCUCAGCAGCCCACUUUUUGGUCUCUUGCACCACAGCAAUCGAGAGCUGCAGACUUAGAUUCUCUAUUGUUGACUGUGACUGAGAUCUUGAAUCCACCUCAGUCUAGCAGAAGGACUGGCAAACUAUGACCUUGGGCCAAAUCUGGCCCUCCACCUGUUCUUGAAAAUAAAGUUUUAUUGGAAUUCAG
RNAcentral lists this long non-coding RNA (829 nucleotides) under Equus asinus (donkey). RNAcentral describes it as "lncRNA (ENSEASG00005036461.1)". Lineage: Eukaryota; Metazoa; Chordata; Mammalia; Perissodactyla; Equidae. The record is from RNAcentral.